UACGUAGGGGGCAAGCGUUGUCCGGAUUUAUUGGGCGUAAAGAGCGUGUAGGCGGCUAGUUAAGUCCGCUGUGAAAACUCGAAGCUCAACUUCGAGCUGUCGGUGGAAACUAUCUGGCUAGAGUCCGGAAGAGGAGAGUGGAAUUCCUGGUGUAGCGGUGAAAUGCGCAGAUAUCAGGAAGAACACCCGUGGCGAAGGCGGCUUUCUGGGCCUAACCUGACGCUGAGACGCGAAAGCGUGGGGAGCGAACCGG
This 253-nucleotide ribosomal RNA is filed under the name uncultured bacterium. RNAcentral's name for it is "partial 16S ribosomal RNA". It matches the Rfam family "Bacterial small subunit ribosomal RNA", at positions 524 to 776 of the family's 1533-position model. The record is from RNAcentral.